This 359-nucleotide ribosomal RNA is filed under the name Potamon fluviatile. RNAcentral describes it as "eukaryotic LSU rRNA". The record is from RNAcentral. RNAcentral also lists the same sequence under 1 other name. Lineage: Eukaryota; Metazoa; Arthropoda; Malacostraca; Decapoda; Potamidae.
GAAAGUGAAAGGUGGGCGUCCCGGGGCUUCCUUCACGGGGGCCCCGGUCGGCGCCCUCCGGGGCCGAUCCUCGACAGACCGUCGCCGCCGGUGUCUCUUCCCACACCAAAGCGGGGCCAAGACGGGAGCGGUGCGGGGUGAGACCCUUUCCCCCGUCGUCCGACUCCCGGCCCCGUGGGUACCCGGCGAGCGCGGCAGUCCGGUGGUCCCUCCCCUCUCGGGGGGAGGUGGCCUCCGCCUGUACGCAGGGGGGCGCAGGCCCGGGACUUGCCAUGAGACGCCGUCGCGCAAAUCUGUUGUUGGCCUCGCCGGCUCUGCUUGGGCUCUCGGUUGGCGGGCCGCGCGUCAGGCGGGCUUUA